UUGUUUGGGUUUCUUCUUCUGUGUGUUUUCUUUCGUGUUCGUGUCUCGUGUUAAUUUUAGAAAAAAUUUAAUUCAUUUCAAUUCAGUGACUGGUGGCAAACGGGUGAAGUUGUUUUUUGUAAGCGGAACGUUCUCGUCAAGUCAAUGCUGUUGAGAGUUCAAAUAAUAGUAAUAACAACAACAAGUGAUUAAUUUUAUGUUUCUUUUCCUUUUUUGCUUUCUUUGCAAAAAAAAAUAAAUAAAUAACGUGGGAAGCAAAGUGCGGCAAGUGUUGAAAGAGUCAAAAGAGAAAAUCAUUUUUUGAAUGUGAAAAUGCCAAUGCCAAAAAAAAUUAAAUAAAAAAGGUGUUGUGAGAGUGUUACAGAAAAUUUAUUGUGUAUUUAAAGAAAUCGCCAAAAUAUUGAAGCAUUUAUACCUAAAGAGUGUUUAAAACAAAAUCCCACAAAAAGAAAACAACAAACCUAAACAGUGGCUGUAUAAAUUAUUUUCAAAAUAUUGCCAAAAAAAAAUAAAUUAAAAUAAAAUGUUUAAAGAAAACAACCCACCUGUGAAAUAAAAUUCAAAAAAAAACAACAA
Long non-coding RNA from Musca domestica (house fly), 576 nucleotides. RefSeq lists it as uncharacterized. The transcript is spliced from 2 exons. The record is from RefSeq and is a predicted model, not a curated record. NCBI's taxonomy places the organism in Eukaryota, Metazoa, Arthropoda, Insecta, Diptera, Muscidae.